CAGCAGCCGCGGGAAUACGAAGGGGGCUAGCGUUGUUCGGAUUUACUGGGCGUAAAGCGCACGUAGGCGGAUUCUUAAGUCAGAGGUGAAAUCCCAAGGCUCAACCUUGGAACUGCCUUUGAUACUGGGGAUCUUGAGUUCGGGAGAGGUGAGUGGAACUGCGAGUGUAGAGGUGAAAUUCGUAGAUAUUCGCAAGAACACCAGUGGCGAAGGCGGCUCACUGGCCCGAUACUGACGCUGAGGCGCGAAAGCGUGGGGAGCAAACAGGAUUAGAUACCCGAGUAGUCCCUGUCUCUUAUAC
RNAcentral lists this ribosomal RNA (301 nucleotides) under uncultured bacterium. Its description in RNAcentral is "partial 16S ribosomal RNA". It matches the Rfam family "Bacterial small subunit ribosomal RNA", at positions 509 to 807 of the family's 1533-position model. The record is from RNAcentral.